GUUGCAGACACAGCUCGGAUCCCGCAUGUCUGUGGCUCUGGUGUAGGCUGGUGGCUACGGCUCUGAUUAGACCCCUAGCCUGGGAAUCUCCAUAUGCCUCGGGAACGGCCCAAGAAAUAGCAAAAAGACAAAAAAAAAAAAAAAAAAAAAAAAAAAAAAUUAAAGUGCAGAGCACGAAGCCAAUGAGGAGAAAACAAUUCUUUGGAAACAUCCUUUUAGAGGGCUGACACCUGAAAGUACCUGCUGCUCUCAGCUUUGUAAGAACCACCUCUCCCCAGGCUGACAGCUUCUCAGGCAGAGGUGACGUUCAAGUUCAAGACCCCAGGAGGGAGGGCUGCCGGGGGCGCUGGGUGGGGUCAUGCUGGUGCUGGGAGCUGUGGCCUUGGAGCCCCUGGGGGAUGUGUUUUCCCAGCGUCGACUGGACCCCCCCCGGGGGGGGGCUCAGGAACGUCGUCCUGGGCAGGGGCUCAGGUCAUUCAGCUGGUCCCUGAGUUCAUGGCCAGCAGCCCCUAAACAAGCACAUGGGAAACCAGCUCUUAUGAUGGAAAAAAGGUCAGAUUUCUUUUAGGAAUGGCUGGGUGGCAGAGAGCACCUAACGAAGGGAGAAGGGAUUCUUGCUCGUUCCCCAAACCCCCACAUCCACCUGGGACGCGUUCACUCCCGUUUCGUUCACCCACUCAGGAAGGAGGGAGUUUCAUGGAGUCGCCCGACAAACCCUGUGCAGCGCCCCCUGCCGUUAGGCCUGGUCUCAGCCGCCGGAGGCACAGAGCCCACUGUCCACCUGGGGGCUGCCCGCAGGCUCACGCGUGAGACUGAGGAGAACCCGCAGCUCUGAGCUGCGUGGCCUGCGUCCGCAGAGAGUGAGGGGAGAGGCCUGGGGGCAGAGACGAAGGAAGAGAGGGGACAGGCCCUGGCACAGGGCCUCUGGGCGGCCCGGCGCCAGGCUUCACACGGUGGGUCUUUCUGGGAAAUGGAUGGGGGGACCCAGAGCGGAAGCAGAGGGGCCAGGCAGUUGCUGCCAGCAGGCGGGGCGCAGGGCGGACAGAAGCCAUUUCCAGACAUGCGAGCAGGGCCUCUGGAACCACAAGGCUCACGGCUGCCAGGCCUGCUCUGCCCCAGGGGGGAUGUCACGUGUGGGGACAGAGCGGGGCGGGCCGCUCUCUGUGGAAUCAGCCGGGCUGAGCUCUGCCGCCGGGCGAGCCAGGUCCAGAGGUGCAGUUGGCCGGGGGUCGCACUCCCAGAGGGCAGCGAAGCCCCGCUGCCAACACCGCCAACCUCGGACCUGCUGCCCUCUGCUGCGGGGACCUGGCCUCGGAGCUCGGUCAGGUCAGGAGCAACACCCGUGAGAGAAGAAAGGAGGCUUCCGAGAAGGGGAACUUUCACAAACAGAUUUGCAUUUGCACCAAAGGUUACUGAAGCCUGCUGGGCUCGUAGGCCUCCCGGGAGCUCUGUUUCCAGGGAGAAGCAGAGGGAGGGAGAAGGGGAGGGAGGAAUGAGGGAUCGUGUUUCCAGCGGGUGGGCCUGGCAGGCAGGCCCAGGAGGCCUCGGCUGGGUGCUCGGGCACAAACGGCCUGUUAAUAUUUAAUCCCCGCAAGGCCAAGGUCUGGAGAUGAAACCAAAGACAGGGUUUGCCAGGCUAGGCCACAGGGGCUGCCCCAUCCAGCCCCCCUGCCUCUGAGCUCUGGGGAGGAGGGUCCUAGCGAACAGAGAAGGGGGGUGGGGGGUCGUGGGGUUCAGUCUCCUCGCACCAUGCCAACUGGAAAGGAAGAGUGUCCAGAGGGGGAGAAUGAUGGGGUGGGGCUUCAGGUCCCAUUAGGGCCCAUGGGUGGGCCCCCUCCUUCCCCGGCUGAAGGCUGCAGGGAGGACCCCAGUGGGGGGGGGGGUGAGGAUGGGGAGACGGCCUGGGCCUGAUGCUGGAGCACGUUUGAACAUUUUAAUUUCCUUCCUCUUUCCAAUUUGAUGUUUGAGUUUUAAAAAUUUGAUAUUUAAAAAAUUUUGAAUUAGAAAAAUUUGAUAUUUAUAAUUAUUUUUCACUCGCUAGCACCUUCCCGCCGUUCAAAAAGUUAAAAACGGGAUCCUGUCACAGUGGUAAGUCUCCCCCUUCCUUGUCCCCAGCCCCACGGCGACUGCGCAGUUUGGUUUUGGACGUCCCUUCAGACGCCCAUGUGCACCUGCAAGCAGACGGCUAAGACGUGGGCUGUUCCUCCUGUGCUCCGCGCUGGCUGCGGGCCUGGCCACCCAGCAUCCGCUGUGGGGCUGGACCACCCUUGGUUUACUGUCUCUCGGCCAAGGGCGGCUCAUUCCUGGUCCUGCCCCCUCUGUGGCCCCUUCACAUCCUCAGGAGUGAACUGACAGUCGCAUUAACCAAAGAGGAACUGGGGAGUUGGAGUCCAUCAGUGAGUGACGCUCCCCCAGUGUCCACAGGUGUUUUCAUGUCGCAGUGGUCUGAAAGCCACGAUUUUGUGGGUUUUUUUUUUUUUUUUUUUUGUCUUUUUAGGGCUGCACCGGAGGCAUAUGGAGGUUCCCAGGCUAGGGGUCUAAUCUGAGCUAUUGCUGCAGGCCUAUGCCAGAGCCACAGCAAUGACAGAUCCUUAACCCGCUGAGUGAGGCCAAGGAUCGAAUUUGCAACCUCAUGGUUCCUAGUCAGAUUCGUUUCUGUUGUGCCACAAAGGGAACUCCGUAAAGCCAUGAUUUUGUUUUUACAAAAAGCAUUAAACAGGAGUUCCUUCCGUGGUGCAACAGAAACAAACCUGACUAGGAACCAUGAGGUUUUGGGUUCAAUCCCUGGCCUUGCUCAGUGGGGUAAGAAUCUGGCACUGCCAUGAGCUGUGGUGUAGGUUGCAGACGCGGCUUGGAUCCCUUGUUGCUGUGGCUGUGGUGUAGGCCGGCAGCUACAGCUCCGAUUCAACCCCUAGCCUGGGAACAUCCAUAUGCUGCGGGUACGGCCCUAAAAAAAAAAAAAAGCCAUUGAACAGGCACUGUGGCCCAGGAAUUCAGAGAGGCUGAGCUCAGGGGACCUGGCUGGCACAGCCCCAUCGCCUCAACGCUGAACUCGGAGGAAACCGGCGACAGAGGGGCGGGCCGAGGAGGACGCAGGAGUGUCUGCCAGAGUCACACCGGCAAGAUGCCACCCCCACCUGGGGCCUCUGCUGGGAAAACAGGAUCUUUCUGCAAGGCCAGGUUUCCAGCAAGUGCAUGCUUAUUGGAGCUGGUGAAAGGAGAGGGCUUUAAGAAAUGGCCCAUCAGCAAUCCUGGGAAAGAAAAAUGGAGCUGAAGGAAUCAGGCUCCCUGACUUCAGACUGUAUGACAAAGCUACAGGAAUCAAAAUAGUAUGGUAUUGGCACAAACCACAAACAUAGAUCAAUGGAACAAGGUAGAGAGUCCAGAAAUAAACCCACACGACUAUGGUCAAUUAAUCUACAACGAGGGAGGCAAGACUAUACAAUGGAGAAAAGACAGCCUCUUCAAUAAGCAGAGCUGGGAAAACUGGACAGCACAGGUAAAAGAAUGAAGUUAGAACCUUCUCUUAUACCAUGCACACAAUAGACUCAAAUGGAUUAAAAGACCAAAAUGUAAGACCAGGUGCUGUGAAACGCCUAGAGGAAAACACAGGCAGAACCCUUUUUGACAUAAAUCACAACACUCUCUUUUUGGAUUCACCUACUCGGGGAAUGAAAAUGAAAAUAAAAAUAAAUGAAUAGGACCAAACUAAACUCAACAGCUUCUGCACAGCAAAGGAAGCAUAGACAAAACAAAAAGACAACCCACAGAAUGGGAGAAAAUCUUUGCCAGUGAAGUGGCUGACAAGGGGUUAUUAAUUUCGAAAAUACACAAACAGCUCAGGCAGCUCAAUAUAAAAAAAAAGUCUGGUCAAAAAUUGAGAAGACCUAAAUAGACAUUUCUCCAAAGACAGACAACAUGGCCAAACAGCACAUGAAAAGAUGCUCAACACUGCUAAUUUUUAGAGAAACAUAAAUCAAAAC
Long non-coding RNA from Sus scrofa (pig), 3983 nucleotides. RefSeq lists it as uncharacterized. The record is from RefSeq and is a predicted model, not a curated record. NCBI's taxonomy places the organism in Eukaryota, Metazoa, Chordata, Mammalia, Artiodactyla, Suidae.